GUGUUGUAUGAAAGGAGAGAAGGUUAGCCCUCCCCUUGACAAGGAUGGAAGAGACUCUCAGGCCUGACAACAUGCAUGCAGUUGGGGCAUUUCCACCUACUUUGUGGCAUCUAAUCUCUGUUG
Small nuclear RNA from Cervus hanglu yarkandensis (Yarkand deer), 123 nucleotides. The record is from Ensembl. NCBI's taxonomy places the organism in Eukaryota, Metazoa, Chordata, Mammalia, Artiodactyla, Cervidae.